GUGCCUACGGGGGGCAGCAGUGGGGAAUAUUGGACAAUGGGGGGAACCCUGAUCCAGCGACGCCGCGUGAGUGAAGAAGUAUUUCGGUAUGUAAAGCUCUAUCAGCAGGGAAGAAAAUGACGGUACCUGACUAAGAAGCCCCGGCCAACUACGUGCCAGCAGCCGCGGUAAUACGUAGGGGGCAAGCGUUAUCCGGAUUUACUGGGUGUAAAGGGAGCGUAGACGGUGCAGCAAGUCUGAAGUGAAAGCCCGGGGCUCAACCCCGGGACUGCUUUGGAAACUGUAUGGCUGGAGUG
RNAcentral lists this ribosomal RNA (296 nucleotides) under uncultured bacterium. RNAcentral's name for it is "partial 16S ribosomal RNA". It matches the Rfam family "Bacterial small subunit ribosomal RNA", at positions 335 to 648 of the family's 1533-position model. The record is from RNAcentral.